AACGAACGCUGGCGGCAGGCUUAACACAUGCAAGUCGAACGGGUGCAGCAAUGCAUCAGUGGCAGACGGGUGAGUAACACGUGGGAACCUUCCUAGGGGUACGGAACAACUCAGGGAAACUUGAGCUAAUACCGUAUACGCCCCCGGACUUGAUCCGGGGGAAAGGAUUCAUCGCCCCUAGACGGGCCCGCGUCGGAUUAGGUAGUUGGUGGGGUAACGGCCUACCAAGCCUGCGAUCCGUAGCUGACUGAGAGGAUGAUCAGCCACACUGGGACUGAGACACGGCCCAGACUCC
Molecule: ribosomal RNA, 295 nt
Filed under: uncultured bacterium
Lineage: Bacteria
Description: partial 16S ribosomal RNA
Rfam family: Bacterial small subunit ribosomal RNA
Source: RNAcentral